GAUGAACGCUGGCGGCGUGCCUAAUACAUGCAAGUCGAGCGAACAGACGAGGAGCUUGCUCCUCUGACGUUAGCGGCGGACGGGUGAGUAACACGUGGAUAACCUACCUAUAAGACUGGGAUAACUUCGGGAAACCGGAGCUAAUACCGGAUAAUAUAUUGAACCGCAUGGUUGAAUAGUGAAAGACGGUUUUGCUGUCACUUAUAGAUGGAUCCGCGCCGCAUUAGCUAGUUGGUAAGGUAACGGCUUACCAAGGCAACGAUGCGUAGCCGACCUGAGAGGGUGAUCGGCCACACUGGAACUGAGACACGGUCCAGACUCCUACGGGAGGCAGCAGUCGGGAAUCUUCCGCAAUGGGCGAAAGCCUGACGGAGCAACGCCGCGUGAGUGAUGAAGGUCUUCGGAUCGUAAAACUCUGUUAUUAGGGAAGAACCAAUGUGUAAGUAACUAUGCACGUCUUGACGGUACCUAAUCAGAAAGCCACGGCUAACUACGUG
This 497-nucleotide ribosomal RNA is filed under the name uncultured bacterium. RNAcentral's name for it is "partial 16S ribosomal RNA". It matches the Rfam family "Bacterial small subunit ribosomal RNA", at positions 28 to 507 of the family's 1533-position model. The record is from RNAcentral.